AUUGAACGCUGGCGGCAGGCCUAACACAUGCAAGUCGAACGGUAACAGAGAGUAGCUUGCUACUUUGCUGACGAGUGGCGGACGGGUGAGUAAUGUCUGGGGAUCUGCCUGAUGGAGGGGGAUAACUACUGGAAACGGUAGCUAAUACCGCAUAAUGUCGCAAGACCAAAGCGGGGGACUUUCGGGCCUCGCACCAUCAGAUGAACCCAGAUGGGAUUAGCUAGUAGGUAGGGUAAUGGUUUACCUAGGCGACGAUCCCUAGCUGGUCUGAGAGAAUGACCAGCCACACUGGAACGGAGACACGGUCCAGACUCCUACGGGAGGCAGCAGUGGGGAAUAUUGCACAAUGGGCGCAAGCCUGAUGCAGCCAUGCCGCGUGUAUGAAGAAGGCCUUCGGGUUGUAAAGUACUUUCAGUCAGGAGGAAGGGUGUGAAAUUAAUACUUUCAUGCAUUGACGUUACUGACAGAAGAAGCCCGGCUAACUCCGUGCCAGCCGCCGCAGUAA
Molecule: ribosomal RNA, 505 nt
Filed under: uncultured bacterium
Lineage: Bacteria
Description: partial 16S ribosomal RNA
Rfam family: Bacterial small subunit ribosomal RNA
Source: RNAcentral